RNAcentral lists this long non-coding RNA (735 nucleotides) under Brassica rapa (field mustard). RNAcentral describes it as "long non-coding RNA (BRAP_LNC001894)". The record is from RNAcentral. Lineage: Eukaryota; Viridiplantae; Streptophyta; Magnoliopsida; Brassicales; Brassicaceae.
UUUUAUACAUUUGCAUUAACGAAGAGGAAAAACAAGAAGUGGAUGGUUGUAGUUUGAUUCCUUGACAAUUGACAAGAGUUAUAAACUCCCAAUAGUACCAUUCGAUAAGAAUCUAACAAAAUUAAUGGUGCUCUUGUCUCUAGUGGGUAAUGACGUGGAACAUAUGCAAUGUUGAUUUUUGUUUUAUUUAUAGCAUGGUGCCCUUGUCUCUUGCUUCGAAUAUUUUAUUGGAUGAUCCUCAAAUCCCACCUUCUCCACGUUGAUGUGUUCUCCAGUACCGUCCCACUUAAGUGUCUUGCCAGAAUCAUUGCAAAGAUAACUUAGUAUAGAAAACUUAAGAUAUAAAAAUGUUGAUAGAAUUUAUGUUAGUAGCUUUACUUGUUGGCGUAUAUAUAUGACGUAAUAAACAUUAUUUUGGGAACUGAUAAAAAAUAUUCCUUAAUGGAGGUGCAUUUUUAUGGCUAAAAUAAGUCUAUUACAUUACAUAACUUCUACAUCUAGAAUGUUCUGCUUUUCACCGAAGCUUAUUUCUAGACAUUUCCUAGAAAAAUCUUGGACAAGACAAGACACAAAGUAAUUUUGGUUUUGCUAUCACAGGUUCUUGGAUAAAGCGGCUAUUAAGACAUGUUCGGGAGAGUCACCUUGUACGGUGACAAAAGUGGAAGUGGCAAAGCGUGUGCUAGGUCUUACCUUAAUAUGGCUUGUCACUUUAAUCCCAAGCACCUUAUGGGCACA